UUNUGAACUGGGAGACUAGAGUGUGUCAGAGGGAGGUAGAAUUCCACGUGUAGCAGUGAAAUGCGUAGAGAUGUGGAGGAAUACCGAUGGCGAAGGCAGCCUCCUGGGAUAACACUGACGUUCAUGCCCGAAAGCGUGGGUAGCAAACAGGAUUAGAUACCCUGGUAGUCCACGCCCUAAACGAUGUCGAUUAGCUGUUGGGCAGCAUGACUGCUUAGUAGCGAAGCUAACGCGUGAAAUCGACCGCCUGGGGAGUACGGUCGCAAGAUUAAAACUCAAAGGAAUUGACGGGGACCCGCACAAGCGGUGGAUGAUGUGGAUUAAUUCGAUGCAACGCGAAGAACCUUACCUGGUCUUGACAUGUGCGGAACCCUCCAGAGACGGAGGGGUGCCUUCGGGAGCCGUAACACAGGUGCUGCAUGGCUGUCGUCAGCUCGUGUCGUGAGAUGUUGGGUUAAGUCCCGCAACGAGCGCAACCCUUGUCAUUAGUUGCCAUCAUUAAGUUGGGCACUCUAAUGAGACUGCCGGUGACAAGCCGGAGGAAGGUGGGGAUGACGUCAAGUCCUCAUGGCCCUUAUGACCAGGGCUUCACACGUCAUACAAUGGUCGGUACAGAGGGUAGCCAAGCCGCGAGGUGGAGCCAAUCUCACAAAACCGAUCGUAGUCCGGAUUGCACUCUGCAACUCGAGUGCAUGAAGUCGGAAUCGCUAGUAAUCGCAGGUCAGCAUACUGCGGUGAAUACGUUCCCGGGUCUUGUACACACC
RNAcentral lists this ribosomal RNA (764 nucleotides) under uncultured bacterium. RNAcentral's name for it is "bacterial SSU rRNA". It matches the Rfam family "Bacterial small subunit ribosomal RNA", at positions 626 to 1391 of the family's 1533-position model. The record is from RNAcentral.